Molecule: ribosomal RNA, 448 nt
Filed under: uncultured bacterium
Lineage: Bacteria
Description: partial 16S ribosomal RNA
Rfam family: Bacterial small subunit ribosomal RNA
Source: RNAcentral
CCCCAGACUCCUACGGGAGGCAGCAGUGGGGGAUAUUGCACAAUGGGGGGAACCCUGAUGCAGCGACGCCGCGUGGGUGAAGGAGCGUUUCGGCGCGUAAAGCCCUAUCGGCAGGGAAGAAGGAGGACGGUACCUGACUAAGAAGCCCCGGCUAACUACGUGCCAGCAGCCGCGGUAAUACGUAGGGGGCAAGCGUUAUCCGGAUUUACUGGGUGUAAAGGGGGCGCAGACGGCAGCGCAAGCCAGGGGUGAAAGCCCGGGGCCCAACCCCGGGACUGCUCUUGGAACUGCGCGGCUGGAGUGCAGGAGGGGCAGGCGGAAUUCCUGGUGUAGCGGUGAAAUGCGUAGAUAUCAGGAGGAACACCGGUGGCGAAGGCGGCCUACUGGACUGCGACUGACGUUGAGGCCCGAAAGCGUGGGGAGCAAACAGGAUUAGAUACCCUCGUAA